GCGGAUGUGGUGGAAUUGGUAGACACGCUGGAUUUAGGUUCCAGUGUCGAAAGACGUGAGAGUUCAAGUCUCUCCAUCCGUACCA
This 85-nucleotide transfer RNA is filed under the name Sphingobium sp. RNAcentral's name for it is "tRNA-Leu". It matches the Rfam family "tRNA". From Rfam's summary of the family: Transfer RNA (tRNA) molecules are approximately 80 nucleotides in length. Their secondary structure includes four short double-helical elements and three loops (D, anti-codon, and T loops). Lineage: Bacteria; Pseudomonadati; Pseudomonadota; Alphaproteobacteria; Sphingomonadales; Sphingobiaceae. The record is from RNAcentral.